RNAcentral lists this ribosomal RNA (170 nucleotides) under uncultured bacterium. Its description in RNAcentral is "partial 16S ribosomal RNA". It matches the Rfam family "Bacterial small subunit ribosomal RNA", at positions 118 to 291 of the family's 1533-position model. The record is from RNAcentral.
UGAGCAACCUGCCCUUAGCUCUGGGAUAACCCCGGGAAACCGGGGCUAAUACCGGAUACGAGUCCGAGCGGCAUCACACGGACUGGAAAGUUUUUCGGCUAAGGAUGGGCUCGCGGCCUAUCAGCUUGUUGGUGGGGUAACGGCCCACAAGGCAACGACGGGUAGCUGGU